This 440-nucleotide ribosomal RNA is filed under the name uncultured bacterium. RNAcentral's name for it is "partial 16S ribosomal RNA". It matches the Rfam family "Bacterial small subunit ribosomal RNA", at positions 338 to 795 of the family's 1533-position model. The record is from RNAcentral.
CCUACGUGCGGCAGCAGUAGGGAAUAUUGCUCAAUGGGGGAAACCCUGAAGCAGCAACGCCGCGUGGAGGAUGAAGGUUUUAGGAUUGUAAAAUCCUUUUGUUAGAGAAGAUAAUGACGGUAUCUAACGAAUAAGCACCGGCUAACUCCGUGCCAGCAGCCGCGGUAAUACGGAGGGUGCAAGCGUUACUCGGAAUGGCUGGGCGUAAAGAGCGCGUAGGCGGGAUAGUAAGUCAGAUGUGAAAUCCUAUGGCUUAACCUGAGGACUGCAUUUGAAACUGUUUUUCUGGAGUAUGGGAGAGGUAGAUGGAAUUCUUGGUGUAGCGGUGAAAUCCGUAGAGAUCAGGAGGAAUACUCGUUGCGAAGGCGACCUGCUGGAACGCAACUGACGCUGAGGCGCGAAAGCGUGGGGAGCAAACAGGAUUAGAUACCCCUGUAGUC